GAGUUUGAUCUUGGCUCAGAUUGAACGCUGGCGGAAUGCUUUACACAUGCAAGUCGAGCGGCAGCGCGGGGCAACCUGGCGGCGAGCGGCGAACGGGUGAGUAAUGCAUCGGAACAUGUCCAUGUCGUGGGGGAUAGCCCGGCGAAAGCCGGAUUAAUACCGCAUACGCCCGAGAGGGGAAAGUGGGGGACCGCAAGGCCUCACGCGAUUGGGUUGGCCGAUGUCCGAUUAGCUAGUUGGCGGGGUAAGAGCCCACCAAGGCGAUGAUCGGUAGCUGGUCUGAGAGGAUGAUCAGCCACACUGGGACUGAGACACGGCCCAGACUCCUACGGGAGGCAGCAGUGGGGAAUUUUGGACAAUGGGGGAAACCCUGAUCCAGCCAUUCCGCGUGAGUGAAGAAGGCC
RNAcentral lists this ribosomal RNA (404 nucleotides) under uncultured beta proteobacterium. Its description in RNAcentral is "bacterial SSU rRNA". It matches the Rfam family "Bacterial small subunit ribosomal RNA", at positions 9 to 416 of the family's 1533-position model. Lineage: Bacteria; Pseudomonadati; Pseudomonadota; Betaproteobacteria. The record is from RNAcentral.